RNAcentral lists this ribosomal RNA (325 nucleotides) under uncultured eukaryote. RNAcentral's name for it is "partial 18S ribosomal RNA". It matches the Rfam family "Eukaryotic small subunit ribosomal RNA", at positions 1470 to 1796 of the family's 1831-position model. The record is from RNAcentral.
CCCUUAGAUGUUCUGGGCCGCACGCGCGCUACACUGAUGCAUUCAACGAGCCUAUCCUUGACCGACAGGUCCGGGUAAUCUUUGAAUCUGCAUCGUGACGGGGAUAGAUUAUUGCAAUUAUUAAUCUUCAACGAGGAAUGCCUAGUAGGCGCAAGACAUCAGCUUGCGUCGAUUACGUCCCUGCCCUUUGUACACACCGCCCGUCGCUCCUACCGAUUGGGUGUGCUGGUGAAAUGUUCGGAUCGGCCGUUUGUCGCGGUUUCCGCGUCAUGUGGCUGAGAAGUUCAUUAAACCCUCCCACCUAGAGGAAGGAGAAGUCGUAACA